RNAcentral lists this ribosomal RNA (253 nucleotides) under uncultured bacterium. Its description in RNAcentral is "partial 16S ribosomal RNA". It matches the Rfam family "Bacterial small subunit ribosomal RNA", at positions 524 to 776 of the family's 1533-position model. The record is from RNAcentral.
UACGAAGGGUGCAAGCGUUACUCGGAAUUACUGGGCGUAAAGCGUGCGUAGGUGGUUUGUUAAGUCUGAUGUGAAAGCCCUGGGCUCAACCUGGGAAUUGCAUUGGAUACUGGCAGGCUAGAGUGCGGUAGAGGAUGGCGGAAUUCCCGGUGUAGUGGUGAAAUACGUAGAGAUUGGGAAGAACACCAGUGGCGAAGGCGGCUAUCUGGACGGUUUCUGACGCUAAGACGCGAAAGCGUGGGGAGCAAACAGG